UUGCUUUGGCAGCAAACAUCCUAAAGUUGGAAUGAUACACAAUUAUCAUGGCUGCUGCCCAAGGAUGAUAUGAAAAUUCAUGAAAUGUUCCAUAUAAAA
This is a small nuclear RNA of Gorilla gorilla gorilla (western lowland gorilla), 99 nucleotides long. NCBI's taxonomy places the organism in Eukaryota, Metazoa, Chordata, Mammalia, Primates, Hominidae. The record is from Ensembl.